AGAGUUGAUCCUGGCUCAGAACGAACGCUGGCGGCGCGUUUAAGCAUGCAAGUCGAGCGGCAAGGGCCUUCGGGCCCCUAGAGCGGCGGACGGGUGAGUAACACGUGGACAAUCUGCCCCCCGGCCCGGGAUAGCCCAGGGAAACCUGGAUUAAUACCGGAUGAGACGGGACCCGCGAUGGCGGGACCCGGGAAAGGCGCUGCGGCGCCGCCGGGGGAUGAGUCUGCGUCCCAUUAGCUAGACGGCGGGGUAACGGCCCACCGUGGCGACGAUGGGUAGCCGGCCUGAGAGGGUGGACGGCCACAUUGGAACUGAGACACGGUCCAGACUCCUACGGGAGGCAGCAGCUAAGAAUCUUCCGCAAUGGGCGAAAGCCUGACGGAGCCGACGCCGCGUGAACGAAGAAGGCCGUGAGGUUGUAAAGUUCUUUUCGGGAGGGGGAACAACCGUGGCAGGGAAUGGCCGCGGGAUGACGUGAAUCCCGGAAUAAGCCCCGGCUAACUACGUGCCAGCCGCUGC
This 519-nucleotide ribosomal RNA is filed under the name uncultured bacterium. Its description in RNAcentral is "bacterial SSU rRNA". It matches the Rfam family "Bacterial small subunit ribosomal RNA", at positions 8 to 518 of the family's 1533-position model. The record is from RNAcentral.